RNAcentral lists this transfer RNA (77 nucleotides) under Dehalococcoidales bacterium. Its description in RNAcentral is "tRNA-Trp". It matches the Rfam family "tRNA". From Rfam's summary of the family: Transfer RNA (tRNA) molecules are approximately 80 nucleotides in length. Their secondary structure includes four short double-helical elements and three loops (D, anti-codon, and T loops). The record is from RNAcentral. Lineage: Bacteria; Bacillati; Chloroflexota; Dehalococcoidia; Dehalococcoidales. RNAcentral also lists the same sequence under 2 other names.
AGGAGUGUAGCUCAGUCUGGUAGAGCAGCGGUCUCCAAAACCGCCGGUCGGGGGUUCGAAUCCUCCCACUCCUGCCA